This 373-nucleotide ribosomal RNA is filed under the name uncultured bacterium. RNAcentral describes it as "bacterial SSU rRNA". It matches the Rfam family "Bacterial small subunit ribosomal RNA", at positions 521 to 896 of the family's 1533-position model. The record is from RNAcentral.
UAAGACGAAGGAUCCAAGCGUUAUCCGGAUUCAUUGGGUUUAAAGGGUGCGUAGGCGGACUUAUAAGUCAGUGGUGAAAGCCGAUAGCUUAACUAUCGAACUGCCAUUGAUACUGUAGGUCUAGAGUAUAGAUGAUGUUGGCGGAAUAUGACAUGUAGCGGUGAAAUGCAUAGAUAUGUCAUAGAACACCGAUUGCGAAGGCAGCUGACAAAACUAUAACUGACGCUGAUGCACGAAAGUGCGGGGAUCAAACAGGAUUAGAUACCCUGGUAGUCCGCACAGUAAACGAUGAUAACUAGAUGUUUGCGAUAUACAGUAAGCGUCCAAGCGAAAGCGAUAAGUUAUCCACCUGGGGAGUACGCUCGCAAGAGUG